CCUACGGGAGGCAGCAGUGAGGAAUAUUGGUCAAUGGACGAGAGUCUGAACCAGCCAAGUAGCGUGAAGGAUGACUGCCCUAUGGGUUGUAAACUUCUUUUAUAAAGGAAUAAAACGAGGCACGCGUGCCUUUUUGCAUGUACUUUAUGAAUAAGGAUCGGCUAACUCCGUGCCAGCAGCCGCGGUAAUACGGAGGAUUCGAGCGUUAUCCGGAUUUAUUGGGUUUAAAGGGAGCGUAGAUGGGUUGUUAAGUCAGUGGUGAAAGUCUGCGGCUCAACCGUAAGAUUGCAGUUGAUACUGGCGGUCUUGAGUACAGUAGAGGUAGGCGGAAUGCGUGGUGUAGCGGUGAAAUGCUUAGAUAUCACGAAGAACCCCGAUUGCGAAGGCAGCUUACUAAACUGUGACUGACAUUGAUGCUCGAAAGUGUGGGUAUCGAACAGGAUUAGAUACCCGGGUAGUC
RNAcentral lists this ribosomal RNA (460 nucleotides) under uncultured bacterium. RNAcentral's name for it is "partial 16S ribosomal RNA". It matches the Rfam family "Bacterial small subunit ribosomal RNA", at positions 338 to 795 of the family's 1533-position model. The record is from RNAcentral.